This is a non-coding RNA of Pelobates cultripes (western spadefoot toad), 295 nucleotides long. The record is from the annotation of a GenBank genome assembly. NCBI's taxonomy places the organism in Eukaryota, Metazoa, Chordata, Amphibia, Anura, Pelobatidae.
CUUGUGUUGCUAGCGCCGGGAUGGAGGAAUGAAAUAUCUCCUGAUUUCCUUGCCCUUUAUUCCCCUUGCUGUUCAUGUUUAUUGGCAACGUGGAGGGAAGGAAAGGGGUUACAGAGUCUGUUGGUGAGUAGACAUGCAUAGAUUUGCACCAGGAAGCUUAGAAGCCAUUUUGUUCCUCCUAACUACAUCUUAAACAGGCAGCAGGUGCUGGGAUAUAACCUCACAUCCUGUAGGCCCUGCUGGCAAAAAUCCUUGCACCGGCCCUGCGCUGCCUGUCAUGUGAAGGUGACGGAAC